Molecule: transfer RNA, 77 nt
Filed under: Chloroflexota bacterium
Lineage: Bacteria; Bacillati; Chloroflexota
Also listed under: 2 other names
Description: Chloroflexi bacterium tRNA-Glu
Rfam family: tRNA
About the family: Transfer RNA (tRNA) molecules are approximately 80 nucleotides in length.
Source: RNAcentral
GCCCCCAUCGUCUAGAGGCCCAGGACGCCACCCUUUCAAGGUGGAGAUCGCCGGUUCGAAUCCGGCUGGGGGUACCA